Molecule: ribosomal RNA, 300 nt
Filed under: uncultured Halorussus sp.
Lineage: Archaea; Methanobacteriati; Methanobacteriota; Halobacteria; Halobacteriales; Haladaptataceae
Description: partial 16S ribosomal RNA
Rfam family: Bacterial small subunit ribosomal RNA
Source: RNAcentral
GCGACUCCUGGGGCAGGAGGCGCGGGAGGCAAGGUGGUGCAAAGGUGGGUCGGAAGUACGGGGCGUAAAGCGCGCGUAGGCGGGCGGGCAAGUCGUGCGUGAAAUCCCAUGGCUCAACCAUGGAAGGGCACUCGAAACUGCACAGCGGGAGUCUCGGAGAGGAAGGCGGAAUGCUUGGUGUAGAGGUGAAAUUCGUAGAUAUCAAGCGGAACACCGGUGGCGAAGGCGGCCUUCUGGACGAUGACUGACGCUGAAGCGCGAAAGCGUGGGGAGCAAACAGGAUUAGAUACCCCAGUAGUC